RNAcentral lists this ribosomal RNA (1128 nucleotides) under uncultured fungus. Its description in RNAcentral is "eukaryotic LSU rRNA". The stretch from base 516 to 1128 matches the Rfam family "Eukaryotic large subunit ribosomal RNA", at positions 1 to 615 of the family's 3401-position model. Lineage: Eukaryota; Fungi. The record is from RNAcentral.
AAAGUUCGUAGUGACCUGCGGAGGAUCAUUACCGAUUUACGAGAUGUGCUGGCUUCAUCGCAUGUGCACUCUCAUUAAUCUUUCACCCCCUUGUGCACUAUAAAUUAUUUUAUACUCUUGUCAUAGAUUUUGUUGAUUAUAUUUAAUCUUAUACAACUUUCAACGACGGAUCUCUUGGCUCUCGCAUCGAUGAAGAACGCAGCGAAUAGCGAUAUGUAAUGUGAAUUGCAGAUCUCAGUGAGUCAUCGAAUCUUUGAACGCAUCUUGCACCCUUUGGUAUUCCGAAGGGUAUGUCUGUUUGAGUGUCAUUAAUAUCAUCAAUUGUAUAUCUUUUUUAAAGGUAUUCAGUUGGAUUUGGAGGUAUUCUGCUGGCUGCAAAGUUAGCUCCUCUUAAAUAUAUUAGCGGUACUACGGUUACUAGCUUCAGUUUGAUAAAUAUCUAGCUGCUGCUAUAAACUUUUAAUGUAUUGCUUAUAGUCGUCUUCGGACUAUGCUUUACGCGUAUAUUUGAAUCUUGACCUCAAAUCAGAUAGGGCUACCCGCUGAACUUAAGCAUAUCAAUAAGCGGAGGAAAAGAAACUAACAAGGAUUCCCCCAGUAACUGCGAGUGAAGAGGGAAGAGCUCAAAUUUAAAAAUCUGGCAGUCUCGCUGUCCGAGUUGUAAAUUAGAGAAGUGCAAUCCGCGCUGGCCUGUGCACAAGUCUUUUGGAAAAAAGCAUCAUAGAGGGUGACAAUCCCGUCUAUUGGCACAGAUCCCCAGGGCUUAGUGAUGCGCUUUCGACGAGUCGAGUUGUUUGGGAAUGCAGCUCAAAUUGGGUGGUAAAUUCCAUCUAAAGCUAAAUAUUGGCGAGAGACCGAUAGCGAACAAGUACCGUGAGGGAAAGAUGAAAAGAACUUUGGAAAGAGAGUUAAACAGUAUGUGAAAUCGUUGGAAGGGAAACGCUUAAAGUCAGUCGUCUUUGUCGGGGAUCAGCUUGGCGCUUGCGUCUAGUGUACUUCCCUUCAGAGGGGUCAGCAUCAAUUUUGAUGGCUGGACAAAGGUAAGAGGAAUGUGGCAUCUUCGGAUGUGUUAUAGCCUCUUACUAUACAGUCGUUGGGAUUGAGGAUCACAGCAUGAACCUGGGGCCC